GGAGGAAUGGCCGAGCGGUUUAAGGCACCGGUCUUGAAAACCGGCGUGGGUGCAAGCUCACCGUGGGUUCGAACCCCACUUCCUCCGCCA
This 90-nucleotide transfer RNA is filed under the name Mesorhizobium sp. M7A.F.Ca.CA.001.05.1.1. RNAcentral describes it as "tRNA-Ser". It matches the Rfam family "tRNA". Rfam says of the family: Transfer RNA (tRNA) molecules are approximately 80 nucleotides in length. The record is from RNAcentral. Lineage: Bacteria; Pseudomonadati; Pseudomonadota; Alphaproteobacteria; Hyphomicrobiales; Phyllobacteriaceae.